UACAGAGGUCUCAAGCGUUGUUCGGAUUCAUUGGGCGUAAAGGGUGUGUAGGUGGCGCGCUAAGUCGGGUGUGAAAUUUCGGAGCUUAACUCCGAAACUGCAUUCGAUACUGGCGUGCUUGAGGACUGGAGAGGAGACUGGAAUUCAUGGUGUAGCAGUGAAAUGCGUAGAGAUCAUGAGGAAGACCAGUGGCGAAGGCGGGUCUCCGGACAGUUCCUGACACUGAGACACGAAGGCCAGGGGAGCAAACGGG
This 253-nucleotide ribosomal RNA is filed under the name uncultured bacterium. Its description in RNAcentral is "partial 16S ribosomal RNA". It matches the Rfam family "Bacterial small subunit ribosomal RNA", at positions 524 to 776 of the family's 1533-position model. The record is from RNAcentral.